Long non-coding RNA from Herpailurus yagouaroundi (jaguarundi), 2658 nucleotides. RefSeq lists it as uncharacterized. The record is from RefSeq and is a predicted model, not a curated record. The transcript is spliced from 3 exons. Lineage: Eukaryota; Metazoa; Chordata; Mammalia; Carnivora; Felidae.
GGAGAGGAAGAAUUAGCAGCUUCCUCCCUGCCACCGAAUUUUCUGGAAUGUCUUGCUCCCAGCAUCUCUUGCAAAUUGGAACCUUGGGGAUAAUCCACUGAUUACACCUGCCUCAUCCAAUCUGAUGGGAAGAUUGCAUGGUGGAGGGGCAUCUGUGUGGUAAUAAUAACUGCAUAAGCAUCAUAUCGUGCAAACCUCACAAUAGGUAUAAAAGGACCAUAGCACUGUCACUCACCUGUGCUUUUGCUAGGAAGAUCUGACCCUGUCCUUGACUGUGGCCUGGCUCAUGAGGUCUGGGAAACAGGGUGGGGAAGGGACAGGGAGUGGGGAGAGACUGUCUCUGGGACAAGAACAUGAAUGUGGGUUGGACUUGCUCCCGGGCAUUUGCUUAGUGCCCAGUGAAGCUCAUGCUUUCCUGGUUCUUUCUCAAGCCCCGUCCAAGCACACCUCAGCUUUCUGGAAUGUGGUUUCCUUUUCUCCCCUUCUGCUUCUUCUCUUCUCUUUGCCCAGGUGCUAAGGGUAAGGGUACCUUGUGCCUUCGAAAGCAGGUACUUCUAUUUAUAGCUUCCAGAAGAUCCAACCCACACUCUCCUGUCAAUUAAGCCUGUUGUGGAGCCUGAUACCUCUAAAUUCAUCCGUGGGCUGCCUGAGUGGCAGGCACAGGGUGAAGGAUAUGGGUGAUGGCUUUUACCUAUUCCAGGGUGUCCCCUGAGCCCCUGUUUCAUUUGAGCUUCUUACCCUAAAGCGUGAGCCUGCCUGUCGUGAAGUCCAGCCAAAUGCCGGUGGCUUGUGCACAGAGAAUCCUACGGUAAAUAAGCAUGGGGGUGCUACCAGGUCCACCCAAAAAUAAAACAGAAUAGGAUUGGUAAACAACUGGAUGAUAAUAAACCAGUUUGCAAUUCAUGGGGACAGAUGUGGAGACGUGGGGAGUUGCUAUCCUCUGGGCUCCCUGUGAGAAGCUCCCCAGGGAGACACACGCAUGCACCCACAUGCACCCACAUACACACACACACACACACACACACACACACACACACAUGCACCAACACAACACACCAACACAGACACAAUCCCACGCUAGAAAGGGCCUGAGCCACCACCUCCCAUCCACAGGGGAUUCAGUCUAUGCCUACCCCACAUGUGGACACCUAUUCCUCAAUACUCCUCUCUUCAGAGUCUCCUCCAGAGACGGGGCAGCCAUCUUUGCAAGGGGGGGGUGCAUCUCCAGGACCUGGCUCAUUCUUUCUUUCUACAGUUCUAGAAAAGCUGAGAUUACUCCCCCAUGCUAGUUUGGGAGAGUGGUCAUGAGUGACACUCGGGAGAACAGCAAAGCCAGGGUGGACCAAGGGUGGGUGUGAGCCCCAGUUCUCCAAGUCCAAGUGACUGGGGAAGGUCGGGGUGUGAGGGACAGGUUGAGACAGGACCUGAGAAACACCCACACUGCCAAGACAAGCAUUUACACACCCACACACAGGUAAGCACAUGUGUACGUGCACACGUAUACACACACGCACACAUACACUGAAUGUGCCCGCCCACACCUGCCGCACACGGGCUGCACACACCUCCUCGGACAUUCUCAGACCCACUCACUCACCUACGCACUCGGGUGCCUCCGCCACGUUCCACAUUCUAAGAAUGUCCCACAGUUUCCCCUCUACAAGCUGUCACCUCCACACAGACCCACACAUGUUCAAGUUCAUAGGCUCACGCACACAUACAGGCACACAUUCUCACAAGCUAUAUUUGGGGGGAAGAGAAAGCCACAGGCGCGUCCUACCUCCACAGAAGGCAUACAAUCCAUAUGCCUGCUUGCACACACAUGUGUAUUCACACGCACGUCAACCUCUGCCCAUAUUCUGAUAUUCUCUCUCAAGUCUUCCCCAGGCUCAAAGACCCCAGCUAUGGAAAUGUGGUUUGUCUCUAGCCACACUCUGCCAGCCCUGAUCCUUCCCGUGCCAACAGGUUUGCACACCUAUGAGGGGCUGCCCACAGACAGUGGCUUCUGCCCACACUCUCCACCUACCUAUCCCUUUCUGCUCUGGAGUCACCCCUCCCCACAUAGAAAUGCUUUGGUUGCACGCAUUCCCUCCCUCACCAUGUACUCCCACACACAUGACAAGUGAUAUGUCCACCCCAUAAAUAUACUGCCUCACACUGCCCCCGCCCACAUAACCCAAAGGCUACUCAGAUAAGUGACCCCCCCCCACACACGUACCUCACAUGUACAAGAAACGUAUGUUCCUAAACAUGCCACACAGCUGUGGAGACCCACACAUGAGCACAGGCGUGUACAUACAGAACUAUCUACGCAAGCAAACCUCCAGGCUCCUUGCAAGCAUGCAUACAUGCCGUGCACAUGGAUACCCCUUGCCCAUGCCCAUCCAGAAAAGCCACCCACAAGCCAGAGGGAAGUCUCUCCCCACCCCACUGUCCCUGUUGGCAUCGCUGACUGCAGCAGAAUGGUCACGGGGUGACUGACUGUGGUGCCCCGGGGACUGGAUCCGGGGGUUAACCUCUUUGCCAAGGCCCUGGGGAACAGGGGACAAGGUCGUUGGCCCUGGCAAUCCAGGUGGGUACCAUGGGCAGUGGCAGGCCCCUGGUGCCCCCACCUCCUAGCCCCUUGCCACCUGAGUCCCUCUCAGAAUUGACAGCAGG